Molecule: long non-coding RNA, 1238 nt
Organism: Vicia villosa (hairy vetch)
Lineage: Eukaryota; Viridiplantae; Streptophyta; Magnoliopsida; Fabales; Fabaceae
Exons: 3
Source: RefSeq, a predicted model, not a curated record
AAAACAAGUCUGAUAAAACACGAUAUCCCUCUCUCACCCUCGAGAACUCAAAACUCUAGAACUCAUCUUCACCAAUUGUAGAAGUCAUCCUCACCGCCAUGGAAUUUCAAAGUCCCCCACCGUAACCCUCAUCGAAAUCAAAAAAUCGCAUCUUCACCCUCACUUUCAUUGAACCAUAUUCUAUUUUUCUCCCAAAUCGAAAGUUCUCCCCAAAUUGAAGGUUUUUCUAUUACAACGUCGAUUAACAAAACCCUCUUAAUCUCUGCGAAAUCCUUAUCUAUUAGAACCAUCACCUACUUUGUGAAAUCCUCGUCACAAGUCUACCUCUGCGAGAGUCGAUACACAUAAUACUCCUAAUCUCAACUACUCCAACAUCACAAUUCCGAGAAUCACUGGUGUUGAUACUUUCUUGAAUCGGCUGCCAGAAAUGAGAUGUUUUCUUUGAAACCUGCUCCAAUUCAAGUUUCUUAUAUGAUAUUUUAUUACACAAAUGGAGAUACUAUAUAGAUUACUUAGAGAUCUUUGUCAGGAAGUUGCAGCUUGAUGUGUUGCAUCUUUUUCUGCUAAAAAUCUUGUCUUAGAUUAUCAAAAGAAAAUGGAGUUCAGUGAAAUACAAGAAGAGAGUAAAGUGAAAUAAGGUAUUAUUGCGUAUUUAAAGCAUGAACAAUAACGUAUAGAAGACACGGCUUCAAACGCGCUAUUUUGAGCAACGGAACCAACUCGUCAACGAAUAAGGCUUAAAAUCAAAGAAUAGUAAAUCAUCGAUUUGGUUGAUAUUUUGUCAUUGUUAGAUAGGAAAUUGAAUAAGCUUUCCAACGCUUCAAAUUGGGCGCAAAUCGGAGUUACGGUUGUCAAGUUAUGACCAAAACACUAAAGCUGAUUUUUUCAAGACAGCAGUCAGCGCGCGUAGCACCCUCCUGCGCGCGACGCGCGCUACACCAGAUCCAAAAUUGCAUAAAUAGGGGAAAAACACAUUUUUUUUAGGUUAUGUUUUGGGUAUUCUUGAACCCCAACUCAUCAACCUUCAAUUUUUGGUAGAUUUGGCUUAGAAUUAACAUUUGGACCUUGCAAAUGGAUGAUCGGAGGUCGAAUUUCUCAUUGAUUGGUGUUGUCGAACCAAGAAAUGUUUGGUUCUUCUCCUCCUCUUCUCUUUGUAUUUCUCUUUUGUUGAGUUUGUUUGUAAGUUUACUCUAAAUCUAUGUAUGUUUGUUACUCUUUCUACUAGUUGUAUAAAGUUU